This 491-nucleotide ribosomal RNA is filed under the name uncultured bacterium. Its description in RNAcentral is "partial 16S ribosomal RNA". It matches the Rfam family "Bacterial small subunit ribosomal RNA", at positions 28 to 507 of the family's 1533-position model. The record is from RNAcentral.
GAUGAACGCUGGCUACAGGCUUAACACAUGCAAGUCGAGGGGAAACGACGGGGAAGCUUGCUUCCCCGGGCGUCGACCGGCGCACGGGUGAGUAACGCGUAUCCAACCUGCCUCUGACUGAGGGAUAACCCGUCGAAAGUCGGCCUAAUACCUCAUGGUAUCGUCUGCGGGCAUCCAACGACGAUUAAAGAUUUCUUCGGUCAGGGAUGGGGAUGCGUCUGAUUAGCUUGUUGGCGGGGUAACGGCCCACCAAGGCUACGAUCAGUAGGGGUUCGGAGGGGAAGUCCCACCAGAAUGGAACUGCGACACGGUCCAAACUGAUACGGGAGGGAGGAGUGAGGAAGACUGGUGGAGGGGGGAGGGCCUGAACCAGCCAAGUGGCGUGCAGGAAGCCUGCCCUAUGGGUUGUAAACUGCUUGUAUGCGGGGAUAAAGUGAGGGACGUGUCCCUCAUUGCAGGUACCGCAUGAAUAAGGACCGGCUAAUUCCGUG